UCACCACUUACCAGCAGACAGCUUACUUAACCUCUCUUAACCUUACUUAAUCGUCGUUCUCACAUCCACAGAUUGGAAGACGACCAUAGUACACAAGGCAAAAUCAAGCAAUUGGCUGAAAAAUUGGAGGAGUGCACAAAUUAUAACCUCAAGAAAUAACCCACUUCAAGAAAUAUGUCAUUAAGAAGUUUCAAAGUUAAUCAUGACUUAUAAUCAGCCUGGAAAGAUACAGCACUGACAAGAUUGAGAAUAGAGGAUAAAGACUUAAUGCACAUUGGUCCAAAGUGAUAAUAAAGUUGUCAAAAUGUUGAAUUGAUUGAAGAUGAGUUGUUUUCUGUUAGUAGUUUCACAAAUUAUAGCCAGACGUGUUUACUUGAAAACUGUAGAAUCACCUGAGGAAACAGUAAUUUUCUGUGUAGUAGGUUUAUGAUUUUGAAUGUUUUGUAUUCUUUCACUUGUUUGUACAGUCAACGGG
Molecule: long non-coding RNA, 475 nt
Organism: Bos taurus (domestic cattle)
Lineage: Eukaryota; Metazoa; Chordata; Mammalia; Artiodactyla; Bovidae
Source: Ensembl